CAGCAAGCCCCAGGUCUAGCCAGACCCAGGACCUUGCUCUGCACACCCCUCCCACCUUACCUGAGAACGGCCCCCACGUGGACCUUCCAUGGAUGCUGGUAUGUCAGAAUCCCCACCCUGAGCUGCCUGGCAUAGCAGUGGUGUUGCAGUGGUGGCGGGAUGGGGCCGGGCUGAUGCCUCUGGGUUUGCUGACGUUUGAUUAUGCCCUGAUAAAUAUAGGCUCAAAGAAAUCCAGAAA
This is a long non-coding RNA of Mastomys coucha (southern multimammate mouse), 238 nucleotides long. RefSeq lists it as uncharacterized. The record is from RefSeq and is a predicted model, not a curated record. The transcript is spliced from 2 exons. Lineage: Eukaryota; Metazoa; Chordata; Mammalia; Rodentia; Muridae.